AUGCAUACUUUUAGGUCUCAGGCAAAUGGAAUUUUAGGUGCAAAUGGCUGUAAUCCUCCGGCAGUAUGGAGAAUACUAUGGAAACUAAAUAUUCCAUGCAAAAUUCAGAUCUUUUGCUGGAGGGUAUUGCACGGAAUUAUUCCACUGAAAUCCAUAUUAAUGAACAGACAUAUUGGUAGUGACGGAGCCUGUCCGACCUGCCAUCAAGGAGCAGAAGACCUACAUCAUUUUCUAUUCACAUGCACCCAUGCAAAGGAGAUGUGGCAGCGCUUGCGGCUAACUGAAGUAAUUAACCAGGCAACAGUAGUGGACAGAUCAGGGUCCGCGGUUUUGGAGUUUUUGCUGAACUUGUCCGAUAUCCCAAUGGUGCUCGAACCAACUCUGAACUUUAAGCAGGUUGUGGCAGUGGCUUGCUGGUGUUUAUGGUGGAUCAGGCGACGCAUUACGCAUAAUGAGACAGUCCCUCCGAUUAUCCGUUGGCCCAUAUCAGUGUUAGCGAUUGCAAGCAAUUAUCACAAAGCCUUCUCUAAGCCAAGUGGAACACAAGACAGAAAAUGGAGUAAACCUGAUCCAAAAUUUGUGAAAGUAAAUGUGGACGCAGCGUUCUAUGAGGAAGAGGGAAUGGGAGCGAUCUCAGCUAUUCUAAGAGAUGCAUAUGGUAAUUUUAUUGCUGCCAAAUGUAGGUUUGUCCCUUUUGCAGCUGACGUAGUUACAACCGAAGCGAUGGCCAUGAAAGAUGGACUUGAGCUAGCUAAUUCUCUCGGAUACAAUCGCCUUGAGGCGGAGUCUGAUUCUAUGCAGGUGAUCAACUUUUGUAUUGGACAAUCUAGAUGA
RNAcentral lists this ribosomal RNA (834 nucleotides) under Triticum aestivum (bread wheat). Its description in RNAcentral is "partial small subunit ribosomal RNA". Lineage: Eukaryota; Viridiplantae; Streptophyta; Magnoliopsida; Poales; Poaceae. The record is from RNAcentral.